This 756-nucleotide long non-coding RNA is filed under the name Equus caballus (horse). RNAcentral describes it as "lncRNA (ENSECAG00000058689.1)". Lineage: Eukaryota; Metazoa; Chordata; Mammalia; Perissodactyla; Equidae. The record is from RNAcentral.
UCCAGAUGUCCUAAUGUCUGUCUUCUUUCAGAAUGCUUCAAGGAAACAGCCAUUACCUGGACUCUGUAACCCUGCCGCUGGAUGCCUAGUGAAGUCAUUUGACACGGACAGUGUGUGGAGGCAAGGUCUCUAAAUCUCCAGCUGAGCUACGAUGACACAGAAGCUCAUCCCGACACAGUAGAUUCUUUUGUGUUUAUCGACUCUGCACAUGAGUGUGAAGACGACAAGUAAUGUCACUGUGUUCGGUUAUUACCUUCUCCUCCAAGAGGCAGCAAGAAGGAAGACUUAGCUCACCAGCCCGGGUCCAAACAACAAGAAAAAAUAUUUCAGCAUUAUUCACAAUGGCCAGGACAUGGAAGCAACCUAAGUGCCCAUUGAUGGAUGAAUGGAUAAAGAAGUUGUGGAGAGGAAGAUCCCAGACCUUGGAAAUAGCCAUUUUUGAUCCCCAGAAAGAAGAAAUCCUGAAUUAACAAAGAAGAGGCUUAGGGCUCAGGUCUCUGAAGUCACUUGCUCAGGGACCCUGGCGAUGGAGACCUGGGAGGGAGAUUAUAGAAAGACUCAAGGUUUCCGGAGUUUGGACUGCUUAUGUAAACUUGGUGAGACAGCUACUGACCCCAAGGUCACCGUGACACCCCCUUUCGCAAAACACUGCUCUCUAGGUACAACAUCUUUACUAUUUUGGGUAAUUUUUCUUUAUCUACCGGAAUCUCCAUGGAGGCCCUUUCUCUCUCAUUUCUCUCCUGUGUAAGUGAAAUA